This 4646-nucleotide long non-coding RNA is filed under the name Homo sapiens (human). Its description in RNAcentral is "HSALNT0198648". The record is from RNAcentral. Lineage: Eukaryota; Metazoa; Chordata; Mammalia; Primates; Hominidae.
GUAAGUUUCUUGAGAACAGGCAUUUUUGUUUUCUCACAAAGCAUUGGUAAAUCUCCAUACAGAUAAUAUGCGCCCAUCAAUGGUUGCUGAACAGUGAUCAGGUUCUGAAAAAAAGCAAAAAAUACUGACUUGUGAGCAAGUUUAACAUUUGAAGUUCAAAGACAAUGGUAUCAUAAAUUUAAAUUGCACAGCAAGGAAUAAAAACAAGACAGGCAUCAAGUCUGGUACAGCUUCAUUUAUUUCUUACUCUUCCUACCGAAUUGAGUUUGCAUCCAGGUACUCCUCAUGCCUCCGUUGGCAGAAUGAUGAUGUAAUGAACGAACAGCAUUUACAGUAAAUGACAGCAAAUUGCUCUGUAAUUCAAGGGCUAACCCAUGUGCCACACAAUGAUCUUUUGAUGUCUGUGAAUUUCUUCAAGGUGGGUGGGGAAGCUUUUUGCUUGUAGGGAAGGCUCUGGAUGGACUGAGCCUCUGACAUAUCAACUGUAAAUCCUGGAGUCCUGGGGCUUUAUUCGGAGGAAGAAAGCACCUUCUACAGGCAGCAGUAGAGUGGACUGUCCCAGAAUCGAGCCCACUGCCCUGAGAAUUGGACUCCACAAUGGCCAGUUGGACAUUGUCCUUGUGCCCGGAGGGGUGACCUACACGUGGGACAGGAAAGGACAUUGUGGCUUCAUCACCAGAAAUGCUCUGCCAGAUCAAGUAAUGAUUGGUUCCACUAAAGGCUUAGUAGAACAGCCCAUCUGUGUGACUGCUGCAAAAGUGGGUGACAAACUCUACACCGGGGGUCUGUCCUGGCUGAGGCAGGUUUGCACCCUGCCUGGGUGCUCAGCACUUCGUGUGAAGGGAAUCAUUCAGGGCAGUCACAAGCCCCUGCACCCGGGAGUCCACCCUGGAAGCCAGGGGCUGGCCCAUGGCUUCACACACACGGCCAGUGGGACUAGGACUAAGUGAGCAGAGCCCAGUUCUUCUCGUUCCCAGUGUGAGCUGAUGUACAGGCACCUCCCUGUAACUGGAUCAAAAGGGGACUGUUUGGCAAAUACAAAUCAAAGCACAGUCUAGGACCCAGCCGAUUAGAGAGAAGGCAUGAAUCAGAGAAGAGAGAAAAUGGGAAGAGGUCAGAGAUAAAGGCAAAGCGUGGUUGAUGAGAACUGCAGAAGUACGUGGGAGGGGUCAGUGUUCUGAUUUAUUGACUACCUUUCAACUCAUUGUUUAGCGUCAUGGGAACAAGGCGUUUAUCAGACAAGAUCAGAAGUUUAAAGGUGGCCAGCUUUAUGGGGUUAAUAACUCCAUGUCCAUGUUCCCUAAGUGAAGUGAAUAGUUCUUUGUGCUGAUAACAUGCUGACGGUUUAACGGUGGUUUAGAAAGAGCACAGACCACAUGUGAAGAAGUAACCACUUACCAGAUGACUGUGAAGACAGAAAUCAACAGAACCUGCAAACACGCUAUUUUCCUGGACCUAAAUAAGUGCCCAUUCAGAUGGUGACUGCUUUUUAAAACCUUUAUUUUUCUCUCUAUAGGCUUAACAUAUGUAAUGUAAGGAGCCGGGAAUCUCUGCAGGUUAAACUGCUGAAAAGAAAGCUCUGAUGAGCUACGGAGGAAUGAGACAGAGUUCUUACACAGGGGUGGAGCGGGGGACGCUUUCUGGCUUCAUCGUGAUUCACUUACUUGCCUUCGUGUGAGUCUCCUCCUUUUCUGAAAUAAAACCCAUCCUAAAGGACAAGGAUUGUUCAGUAAGGAAAUUCAAGAGAUUUUCAUAUAAGCUUGAAAGUAAUCCAGAAAAGGAAUUAUAAAAAUGCUUUGAACAGUAGCUGUAUUAUUUAAGUCCACUUAUUAGGUGGCUGCUUUGAAGAGACAAAUGUUUAUUGGGGUUUUUAAGUUCUUGUGCAUUUGUUUAUAGGAGAGAGAUAAAGGAAUUUCCAUCACGUAUGGGCAUAUCUUGUCUUGACCAGCUAGUCCUCUUUCCUAUGAUGCUUCUUGGACUUGUGCAGAAAGCAUUGCCCCUCCUUACCCCAGGGCCAAGGACCAGCUGACUUCUCACAGGGCUGACUCACAAAACCAUCUACCCGAAGCAUCUCUACUUACCUGACCUGGGCACUGAAGCGCCUUAUCUUGUUUACCUCAGAAUCCUCCAAGGGCAUGGAAAUCACUAGAAAUCAAGACAAGUCAGAUAAAAGGAUUUUGUGCUACUUCCAGGUGUCCAGGAGGUAAAGUUUGGAUGCUGAAAUGUCAAGAUUUACAAGACAUUUCAGUGGCUUAUGAGAACAACAGAACCAUGUACUUGAAGUGGAAAAUAUAACAGAAAAUCUGGAAAGCCACAGCUUUCAUACAGCUGUACAAAUGACUAGAUUAUUGCUCUAACAUCUAUCUGAGGAAAUAGGAGUUUUGCUGAAGGAUAGGGACAACCAAUGUGGACCCUGGCUGUCUUGGGAAAUUGUAACACUUUUGGGGUGGCAACUGGGAAGAGAGAGGAUGAGGACAUGAGAAGGCAGGGUGUUAAAUAGCAACAUAAAACAAGGGAAGGCAGAUUAGAGAGGUAGGCAGCUGUGGCAGACACAGCCAACCAUAUUUCCCUCAUAACAGCUCACAUAUCCCCUCAGGGUACCAAUGUGCUCAGCUUAGAACACACAGCUUCCCUGACUCCCUUGCAGCUAGGGUUGACUGUGUGACCAAGGUCAGCCAAUGAGAUGCGCUUGAGUGACAGACUGAGGCUUCUGAGAAUGCUUUUUGAAGGAGAAGUAGCUGACAUGUGUUACUUGGAUUGUUUCCCUUUGCCCUUCUCCCUUCUCCCUGGGCACAGAGCUGGAAUGCAGAAGUAGGAACCAUCUUAAUGCUACAGGAUAAAUGCCACAUGCUAAGUGUAACAGAAGAGAAAUCUAGAACAAGCCUGGAAACUGAUCACACUGCAGAGCUGCCAUGCAGCCUUGAAUGACUUCCCCCAAAAAAUCUUCUGUUAUAGGAGAACAGUGAACCUCUAUUCAGUUGAGCCAUCAUGCUCAGGCUUCAGUUUCAUAGGGCCAUCUGGACCAAGUCCUAAUUUAUGCUGUACUCCAAUAUAUCAGACCCUGGACAGAAGGCCAAGAGGCCAGAGUUUCAGUCCUGGCUCUGUCCUGGCUGUCCUUAUUUAUGAGUGUGUGACUUAGGCAAACCACCUAGGACCCCAAGCCUCAAAUUGGGGGUAAACUAACUGCCAAAACAACAUCUCACAGACUGUGUUGAAACUAAAAUUAUUUAAAAGUAUUUGAAAAGUAUUAACAUUAUUAGGAAGGUAAAGAAAGGGGUUAAUUCAGUAAGGCCAGGCUUAAGAGAAGACAUUAAGAAAAUGUGGUGUUUGGAAUUCAAAGUCUAGGAAAGGAUGGCCGGGCAUGGUGGCUCACAUCUGUAAUUGCAGCACUUUGGGAGGCCAAGGCAGGUGGAUCACCUGAGGUCAAGAGUUCGAGACCAGCCUGGCCAACAUGAUGAAACCCCAUUUCUACUAAAACUACAAAAAUUAGCCAGUCGUGGUGGCACACGUCUGUAGUUCCAGCUACUCAGUAUGAUGAGGGCACGAGAAUCACUUGAACCUGGGGGGUGGAGAUUGCAAUGGGCCAAGAUUGUACCACUGUACUUCCAGCCUGGGCAACAGAGUGAGACUCUGUCUCAAAAACAAACAAACAAACAAAAACAAGUCUAGGAAAGGAAACUUCAUACAUAGCACACCUGGAGAUGAUAUGACAGUUGAGGCCAGGGAAGGAGCCAACAUUAGCAAUGGAUUCCCACGUAUUUCCAGCGGGCAGGUGGGUCCAGCAGCAGAUGUAGCCAGAGAUCCUGGUACCCAAAGGCCCAGUGGGAUUAGACUGUGCAGCCUAUACAGACCAGAUGAUAGCACAGAGAUCAAACUGCCCCACCACAGAACUUCCUCUCUGCACAGGUUGAAGGGAAAGAGAAAUGUGAAACACUAAGUACUUAGCCCAGUGAGAUUAAGUUCAUCUGGUAGAGAUUGUGUAAGCCCAGUUGGAAAUAGUGGCUCCUGGGACAUUUGAGAUCUAUUAUAGAAAAUAAAGUUAUAUUUCUCUGUGUAUUUAAACGUUGUAAAUUUCAGUGCCUUUGCCCAUAGCUACAGAAAGCUUAAUGUCAGUGGGCACAGGAAGGACAGACAGGGUCGGCCCUGGAACUAGAUACCCCUGCUGAGCUCGGGCAGGUGCUAGGGAUGCCUGAAGAUGAGGGAAAAAAAGCAAGUCAUGCAGGUAAAACACAAUAGCUAGAGACAGGCAACAGGUGGUAGGUAGGCGUAAAGGUGUGUGUGGGAUGGACCAUAACAUGUGAGGAGGUGGAGUGCAGCACAGGGAGGCCCAGCUGAGCUGAGCCCAGCAGAGAUAUUAGCAGACAGCUGUGGGGGAAGCUGGCCAUACCUACAGAACCAGAGCACAGGGGAGGAGAGGCAGAAUAGUGCCGGGGCCACAAAAAGGAAAUAGCAAGAGAACACAGAGUUAUGGUCCAAAGGGGCAAGGGGACAGGGCAAACAAUCAUCGGCACUAGAGCGAGUCCCCAGGAUGUGGCCUCCAGAAGAAGUGACAGCCUGCGUAGAAUCAGACAGCGCAUCCAGAGUGGGGGUUUCGUGAGCAACGCUUCAUGUAUCCUGUCUGAGGAGGGGGCUGGGUCGAGCCCCUG